UUUAACCCAUCCAGACUUCCUACAGGCACAGAGCAGCCUAGAAGCAGAACAUGCUGUGCUGACCUCUCCAGGUGGCCAGAGGGCAGUGGGUUUGCAUCACCACAUUUGCCUAACAAUUGACAUUCUACUUGGCACUGUUCGCUUGCUGACUGAGAACCAACAAAGCCAGAUAUCCUAGCACUGCAAGCAGCACACCAGCCUCCUGAAGGAAGCCAGGGCAGUAAGGCUACAAAUAGCUGCCCAUGAAAACACUGGGGUGAAACUGCCAGGGAGAAGAAAACAACUACCCAGAAGCACCCCAAGGACCACUGGGGACGGAAACAGGGAGAGCAAGCUGAGUGGCCAAGACAUUCAUAUGAAGACUGUGACCUAUGGCCCAGCUAAUAAGAGGACCUCUACCCGCCUCAUUGUGAUGUCCAUGACCCUUCUAUUCUAAGAGGAGAGGACCUCUUGAGAGAGAAGAUUCUGGAAUAACUACAGAUAGAAUGGCAACAUUUAACGAGGAUUGUUGAUGCCAAUCAGCAAAAAUCAGGAAGUUGGGAGGAGGAGGAGGGUAAAGGAGAAGGUUGAGUCCAAUCUGGCUCACAGGUAGACAAACUUAGCACACCACUGGAAAGGUAAAACGGAAGCUCCAGAGAAAGAUAUCUGGAGACACGGCCAUUAGAGUCACCUACAGAGAAAUGACAGCUACAACAACAGGACUGAGAAGCUGGCAACUGAUAAAGGCAGAAUUUGAACCAAGGGCCAAGAACACCUUUCUCACUAGACCAGUGCUUCUUAAACUUGAAUGCACAUAGGAAUCACUGGAGAGUCUUAUUGAGAUGCAGAUUAUCAUCCCAUAUGACAUGUCCAAAGGUUCUGUUUUUUGGUGUCAAACAAGUCUUCAGUGAUUGACAAUCCCCUCUGCCUCUCCAAAAUGAAGCUGGCUGUGGUGGAUGUGGUGGAUGUAGACAUCUGUUCAUCAUUCACUUUUAAAGGAGCGGCUGCUGAUCCCCUGGAUCUCUGUAAUGGUUGCAACAGCCUGUAUCUUUCAGAUUUUCAUUCACAAGUGUUUGCAUCUUUGAACAUUUUCAGAACUUUGCAGGCUUUGCCCAACAGAAAGGCUUUUGAGAGCCUGAGCAUCAGAAGAGACCUCUUUUUGGGAGGAUCAGAGACAUUUAACUGGGAGCUCUGCCACAAC
Molecule: long non-coding RNA, 1180 nt
Filed under: Heterocephalus glaber (naked mole-rat)
Lineage: Eukaryota; Metazoa; Chordata; Mammalia; Rodentia; Bathyergidae
Description: lncRNA (ENSHGLG00100025743.2)
Source: RNAcentral